Molecule: ribosomal RNA, 1431 nt
Filed under: Salmonella enterica subsp. enterica serovar Typhimurium
Lineage: Bacteria; Pseudomonadati; Pseudomonadota; Gammaproteobacteria; Enterobacterales; Enterobacteriaceae
Description: bacterial LSU rRNA
Rfam family: Bacterial large subunit ribosomal RNA
Source: RNAcentral
GGUUUAAGCGUGUAGGUGUGUGUUCCAGGUAAAUCCGGUUCACUUUAACACUGAGGCGUGACGACGAGGCACUACGGUGCUGAAGCAACAAAUGCCCUGCUUCCAGGAAAAGCCUCUAAGCAUCAGGUAACACGAAAUCGUACCCCAAACCGACACAGGUGGUCAGGUAGAGAAUACCAAGGCGCUUGAGAGAACUCGGGUGAAGGAACUAGGCAAAAUGGUGCCGUAACUUCGGGAGAAGGCACGCUGACACGUAGGUGAAGUGAUUUACUCAUGGAGCUGAAGUCAGUCGAAGAUACCAGCUGGCUGCAACUGUUUAUUAAAAACACAGCACUGUGCAAACACGAAAGUGGACGUAUACGGUGUGACGCCUGCCCGGUGCCGGAAGGUUAAUUGAUGGGGUCAGCGCAAGCGAAGCUCCUGAUCGAAGCCCCGGUAAACGGCGGCCGUAACUAUAACGGUCCUAAGGUAGCGAAAUUCCUUGUCGGGUAAGUUCCGACCUGCACGAAUGGCGUAAUGAUGGCCAGGCUGUCUCCACCCGAGACUCAGUGAAAUUGAACUCGCUGUGAAGAUGCAGUGUACCCGCGGCAAGACGGAAAGACCCCGUGAACCUUUACUAUAGCUUGACACUGAACAUUGAGCCUUGAUGUGUAGGAUAGGUGGGAGGCUUUGAAGUGUGGACGCCAGUCUGCAUGGAGCCGACCUUGAAAUACCACCCUUUAAUGUUUGAUGUUCUAACGUGGACCCGUAAUCCGGGUUGCGGACAGUGUCUGGUGGGUAGUUUGACUGGGGCGGUCUCCUCCUAAAGAGUAACGGAGGAGCACGAAGGUUGGCUAAUCCUGGUCGGACAUCAGGAGGUUAGUGCAAUGGCAUAAGCCAGCUUGACUGCGAGCGUGACGGCGCGAGCAGGUGCGAAAGCAGGUCAUAGUGAUCCGGUGGUUCUGAAUGGAAGGGCCAUCGCUCAACGGAUAAAAGGUACUCCGGGGAUAACAGGCUGAUACCGCCCAAGAGUUCAUAUCGACGGCGGUGUUUGGCACCUCGAUGUCGGCUCAUCACAUCCUGGGGCUGAAGUAGGUCCCAAGGGUAUGGCUGUUCGCCAUUUAAAGUGGUACGCGAGCUGGGUUUAGAACGUCGUGAGACAGUUCGGUCCCUAUCUGCCGUGGGCGCUGGAGAACUGAGGGGGGCUGCUCCUAGUACGAGAGGACCGGAGUGGACGCAUCACUGGUGUUCGGGUUGUCAUGCCAAUGGCACUGCCCGGUAGCUAAAUGCGGAAGAGAUAAGUGCUGAAAGCAUCUAAGCACGAAACUUGCCCCGAGAUGAGUUCUCCCUGAGACUUAGAGUCUCCUGAAGGAACGUUGAAGACGACGACGUUGAUAGGCCGGGUGUGUAAGCGCAGCGAUGCGUUGAGCUAACCGGUACUAAUGAACCGAG